This 1227-nucleotide long non-coding RNA is filed under the name Sinocyclocheilus rhinocerous. RNAcentral's name for it is "lncRNA (ENSSRHG00000039612.1)". The record is from RNAcentral. Lineage: Eukaryota; Metazoa; Chordata; Actinopteri; Cypriniformes; Cyprinidae.
UUUCUUUUCUUUUUUUUUAAAAUUCUGCUUAAAUUACAGGUAAUAGAACAAAUGCUAUAAUAUAUACAUGUCUUAUUAAUAAAUAAACAGCUAAAUAAAGAUAAUGAUGAAUGAUGUUUUGUAUUGCAAUAAUUAAAAUUGCAGGGAAAUGUGCUUACUUUUCAUGAAAAUAAUGUAACAAGCAAAAAAAAAUCUACGGGGUAAUAUAUAUGAUAUGACCCGGACACAUUCUUGACAAGUUUAAUGAGAUUUAUCCGAAUAUUAUUGAUUUUUCCUGUUAACACUGGGCUAUUAGUCCAAAAUGUCUACUGAAUAUGAAUUGUUUUUUUCAUCCUAUUAGUUGUCAGUGGAAAAAUGAAUGUACUACCACACUGCGUACGCACUGACAGUCAUGGACUGUAUUUUUACUGGAACAAAGAAUGUUAUGAAAAGUGACUAUAUAUACAGAGCCAUAUUUUUCUAUUAUGACUGUCUGUAGUGUUUGGCUGUGUGGGAUAGCGUGUGCACUACCUGUCUUAUGCAUUAAAAGAGCAUGAAUGUCAAAGCUUGCAGUUGCAAAAAUGGCCACGCAUCUUUGCACCCCAGUGAUAUGCUGAGCUACUGUAAAUACAACAUGCCAUGUAAUGGGUUCAAAACUGAUCAAUCAUGUAUUGUUUGAUUGCAUUUUUUCAUUGUAACCGCUGUCGGUGAAAGUUAAAACCGUUAGUUCUGGAGAGAAAGAAAUGUAAAUUUUUGUACACAGAAAUGACACUAUAUUUAAUUUUUUAUGUGGUUGAGCUAAAAUAUAUUGAUAAUGCAUUAAUAUUUGUCUGAGAUUUGUUUUGUUGUGUACACCUUCCUGUCACUAUGUUUGAAGCUACCAUAUGGCAUUUUUGAACACAGGAGAGCAUCAUUUUAAAUUAGGCAUUCCAGACAUACUGUGGUGGGGAUUUUUCAGCGACUCUUUCUGCACGCUACGUUGUUACGUCGGUAGGUGGCGACAAGUGAACGUCUGUCAGUGAAUCAAUCACUCAACCGAUUCGUUCAAAAACAAUGACUCAUUCAAGGACCAAACGUCACUACUGUGUAUUGCUUUGGACAGAUUAAUUCUGCUUUGAUGUCGCUGGCCUGAUGUCUAUAAAAUGUAAGAUGCUCAAUAUUACUAUUGAACUGAGUUUUUUUAAUCAGCAAUAUCACUAACAAUUGCGUUUUUAUUCAUAUGCCAGAUACGCUGCUGUUACGUAAAAC